GAAGAUGAAGUUUUAGAUCUUGGCAUUCCUAUCUCUAAUCUUGAUGGAAUGCGUGUUGUUCUGGAUGUUGCAGAGCAUAGUGCAGGAAAAGAUAAACAGAAGAGUGGAGGAGUGAAACCAGGUCCAUCCACUUUGGGCACAAGAAAUCAUGAUGUAACGGAGAAAGAAGAAAGAAAUUUAGGAAAACCAUCUUCAGUUAAAGAAAAAGGAGAUAAUGGAAAAUCU
This is a long non-coding RNA of Callorhinchus milii (elephant shark), 225 nucleotides long. RefSeq lists it as uncharacterized. NCBI's taxonomy places the organism in Eukaryota, Metazoa, Chordata, Chondrichthyes, Chimaeriformes, Callorhinchidae. The record is from RefSeq and is a predicted model, not a curated record. The transcript has 3 exons.